This 758-nucleotide ribosomal RNA is filed under the name uncultured bacterium. RNAcentral describes it as "bacterial SSU rRNA". It matches the Rfam family "Bacterial small subunit ribosomal RNA", at positions 28 to 776 of the family's 1533-position model. The record is from RNAcentral.
GAUGAACGCUAGCUACACGUUUAACACAUGCAAGUCGAGGGGCAUCAGGAAGAAAGCUUGCUUUCUUUGCUGGCGACCGGCGCACGGGUGAGUAACACGUAUCCAACCUGCCCUUUACUCGGGGAUAGCCUUUCGAAAGAAAGAUUAAUACCCGAUAGUAUAAUGAUUCCGCAUGGUUUCAUUAUUAAAGGAUUCCGGUAAAGGAUGGGGAUGCGUUCCAUUAGGUUGUUGGUGAGGUAACGGCUCACCAAGCCUUCGAUGGAUAGGGGUUCUGAGAGGAAGGUCCCCCACAUUGGAACUGAGACACGGUCCAAACUCCUACGGGAGGCAGCAGUGAGGAAUAUUGGUCAAUGGGCGCUAGCCUGAACCAGCCAAGUAGCGUGAAGGAUGAAGGCUCUAUGGGUCGUAAACUUCUUUUAUAUAAGAAUAAAGUGCAGUAUGUAUACUGUUUUGUAUGUAUUAUAUGAAUAAGGAUCGGCUAACUCCGUGCCAGCAGCCGCGGUAAUACGGAGGAUCCGAGCGUUAUCCGGAUUUAUUGGGUUUAAAGGGAGCGUAGGUGGACUGGUAAGUCAGUUGUGAAAGUUUGCGGCUCAACCGUAAAAUUGCAGUUGAUACUGGCAGNCUUGAGUACAGUAGAGGUGGGCGGAAUUCGUGGUGUAGCGGUGAAAUGCUUAGAUAUCACGAAGAACUCCGAUUGCGAAGGCAGCUCACUGGACUGCAACUGACACUGAUGCUCGAAAGUGUGGGUAUCAAACAGG